CCAACUUCAACAUCCGGGAAGACGCCA
RNAcentral lists this non-coding RNA (27 nucleotides) under Mus musculus (house mouse). Lineage: Eukaryota; Metazoa; Chordata; Mammalia; Rodentia; Muridae. The record is from RNAcentral.